This 598-nucleotide ribosomal RNA is filed under the name uncultured Lachnospiraceae bacterium. Its description in RNAcentral is "bacterial SSU rRNA". It matches the Rfam family "Bacterial small subunit ribosomal RNA", at positions 128 to 744 of the family's 1533-position model. The record is from RNAcentral. Lineage: Bacteria; Bacillati; Bacillota; Clostridia; Lachnospirales; Lachnospiraceae.
GCCUCAAAGAGGGGGACAACAGUUGGAAACGACUGCUAAUACCGCAUAGGCCCACAGGUCGGCAUCGACCAGAGGGAAAAGGAGCAAUCCGCUUUGAGAUGGCCUCGCGUCCGAUUAGCUAGUUGGUGAGGUAAUGGCCCACCAAGGCAACGAUCGGUAGCCGGACUGAGAGGUUGAACGGCCACAUUGGGACUGAGACACGGCCCAGACUCCUACGGGAGGCAGCAGUGGGGAAUAUUGCACAAUGGGGGAAACCCUGAUGCAGCGACGCCGCGUGGAGGAAGAAGGUCUUCGGAUUGUAAACUCCUGUUGUUGAGGAAGAUAAUGACGGUACUCAACAAGGAAGUGACGGCUAACUACGUGCCAGCAGCCGCGGUAAAACGUAGGUCACAAGCGUUGUCCGGAAUUACUGGGUGUAAAGGGAGCGCAGGCGGGAAGACAAGUUGGAAGUGAAAUCUAUGGGCUCAACCCAUAAACUGCUUUCAAAACUGUUUUUCUUGAGUAGUGCAGAGGUAGGCGGAAUUCCCGGUGUAGCGGUGGAUGCGUAGAUAUCGGGAGGACACCAGUGGCGAAGGCGGCCUACUGGGCACCAACUGAC